UAGAUACAGCAUAUGGUUUUUAUCCUUCAUUCUGUUGGUAUGUAUCAUGUUGAUUGAUUUGUGCAUGUUUAAUCAUCCUUGCAUCCCAGGGAUAUAUCCCACUUGUUCAUGAUGGAUGAUAUUUCUAAUAUAUUGUUUAAUUUUGUUUGCUAGCACUUUGUGGAGGAUUUCUGCAUCAAUAUUCAUCAAUGUUAUUUUCUUGUAGAUUUCUUUUAUUCAUGAGGGUUUGUCUGGUUUUAGUAUCAGGGUAAUACUGGCCCCAUAGGAUGAGUUUGGAACUAUUCCCUCCUCCUCUAUUUUUUGGAAUAGUUUGAAUUGUGUUAGUAUUAAAUCUUUUUUAAGUGUUUGGUAGAAUUUAACACUAAAGCCAUCAGAGUUUUAAAAACAUUAGAGAGGCUGAGGCAGG
Sapajus apella (tufted capuchin) is the source of this 406-nucleotide long non-coding RNA. RefSeq lists it as uncharacterized. The transcript is spliced from 4 exons. The record is from RefSeq and is a predicted model, not a curated record. Lineage: Eukaryota; Metazoa; Chordata; Mammalia; Primates; Cebidae.